Molecule: regulatory RNA element, 102 nt
Organism: Lachnospiraceae bacterium M18-1
Lineage: Bacteria; Bacillati; Bacillota; Clostridia; Lachnospirales; Lachnospiraceae
Rfam family: pemK RNA
Source: Rfam
AUAAUGAUACUCCCGUCCAGCCACAGUCCGAGCGGUAACCAAUCCGCCGCAGGCAAUGGGGGCGGCUCUGUCAGACCGACAGUUGGGGUGCAAUUCCCGUGG